This 688-nucleotide long non-coding RNA is filed under the name Helianthus annuus (common sunflower). Its description in RNAcentral is "sRNA HanXRQr2_Chr08g0344941". The record is from RNAcentral. Lineage: Eukaryota; Viridiplantae; Streptophyta; Magnoliopsida; Asterales; Asteraceae.
UUGACAUUACAUGAACUUGGCCACUUGGGGCAUAUAUAUAUCUCCUCUCAUUCUCUCUUCAUCAAUUGACUUUCUUAUGGCAAAAGAGACAUUUACCUUAACAUCUACCUUAGUUUAUAAAAAACCAUAAACACAAGGUAAAAAUUUUUUAAAAAAUGUCAAAUCUAUCCACAAGAAUAUAUAUUUUUUUCACAACAAGAAUCAAAUAAACCCCACAAAAAAGAACUUUUUUUUUUAUUCUUCAAAAAUGCUCUCAAGAUGAGGCCUCCAUUCACUAGCCUGAACCGUCCGGCGUGCUCUCCGGUGACCACCCUUUUUCUUCUCCGACACCACCACAACAUCCGAAGAUUGCACCGCAACGACGACAUCAUUGGAUUCGACCACUUUCUUCACCUUUUUUAAAUCUUUUUGUUGCGGGUUUCUUUUAUUUUCUGGCACUGAUGAAGAUGGGAUCAAGAAAUAUAUGCUACCUCUUUUUAGCUCGGUACUGUUUGAUAAGAUCAAGAUUUUCCUAACAACACCUUGAGAACAUGGUUUACUUAACACAUGAUUAGGGUAGUUCUUUAAAACCUCACCCGCGGUGACCGGACGAGUGAUCUCUUCAACGUAGCCGUUUAGAUGAACUAUUCUGAUCAGAUCAAGAGCACCACAUGGAAGAACACAAGCCAAACAACAUCUUAAACUGUUG